UCCUCCGUCCAGCUUUCGUCCUGUCCGGUCGGCUGCGCUAGGUGACCGCGGAGGAGCAGCUCCGAUGGCCUCCCUGUCCGCCGUCUCCGGCAAGGCCGCCGCCGGCUACUGCAAGCCACUCGCCCUGAGCUGCAAGGUAAAGCACUGGAAAUGCAAGCGCACAUGUGUGCUGACUUGCUGCUCUGUGCUCAAUAGCAUCUCUUUUUCUUUUCUUUUUAUUCUUGUUUUGAACUUAACCAACCACGACACUUUUCCAUUAUCUAAGAGGAAGAAAAGGAAAUUCACCGCAACACUUACACAAGUGAGUAGCUUGUUUCGGUCGUCUCUUUCCUGUCGACCGGUGGACGGUAGAAAUUUUCUCCAUCUUUUAGCUGUGUGCAAGAGGUCUCCGAGAGGUCUCAGCUGGCGUCACUACUCACUAGAAACCGGAAUUUUCUGUCUGAAACAACAUGAUAGAAAGCGGAAUUGGGCGAGGCUAAUGCUGACGUACGGAUAGAGUUCUUGUUGCCACAGGCAAAUUCAGAGAGUGUGUAUAGAGUUCUUUUCUUUUCUUGUUUUUGAAAUAAUGAGUUUUGUUCCUGGAUAAAGGAAAAAAAGGAAGCGCACCAGCAAAGGUUACGAGCUAAUCCAGUGCGUGCGUAGGGCCCACGGUGCCGGCCACUCGAACAGGAUGUGAACGUUGUUAUGUUGGGGGUAGCUUGCAGUUUCACCUCACAGCCGUAGCCGUGGCCGCUCAAGUCCUCGAUGUGAUAGCCUUAGCUUUUCUUUUCCACAUUUGUGUGUACUAGACCAUAGCGGAAUUUCCAGAUGCUUCUUUUCAAAAGGUUAAUUACCCAAAGAUACGAUGGUCCUUUUUAGAGGCGAUGAUGAGCACACAACCCAACAUCUUCAUUAAUUCUUCAUACUCAUUUUGUAGCAGAAUUUUGUGGCAGUCGUCCAACUGAUGUGUGCUCCCGCUCUGAACCGAAACUUGCAGGGAAGCAGAGUUCCAGGCCGGAGCCUGAUCUCCAUGGGGGCGACGAGAAGCCGCCUCAUCUCCCUAAGAUCACCUCGCUUUCGCGUCUACGCGGUAACACCCAACACCUUUGCAUAUGCACAUCUCUUGUCUCUUGACUUUGUUUGGAAAUCUGGAACGAUGGUGCCUGUGGAGGUUCCAUUACUAUCUGACUGAACAAUAUAAUGGUGCCUGUGUACGUGCAGGCGAAGGAGGAGACGGUGAACAAGGUGAUUGACAUCGUGAAGCAGCAGCUGGCGCUGGGCGCGGACGCGGCGCUGACGCCCGAGUCCAAGUUCACGGACCUGGGCGCCGACUCUCUGGACACGGUGGAGAUCGUCAUGGCGCUCGAGGAGGAGUUCAAGAUCACCGUCGAGGAGGACAACGCCCAGAACAUCACCACCAUCCAGGAGGCCGCCGACCUCAUCGACAAGCUCGUCGGCUGAUUUAUUUGUUUCACUUACUUUUUGGGAACGUCGUUGUUGUUGCCAAGAUUCGAUUAUUUUCUCCUCCCUCCUCCU
This 1515-nucleotide long non-coding RNA is filed under the name Setaria viridis. RNAcentral's name for it is "long non-coding RNA (SVIR_LNC009616)". The record is from RNAcentral. Lineage: Eukaryota; Viridiplantae; Streptophyta; Magnoliopsida; Poales; Poaceae.